Molecule: ribosomal RNA, 345 nt
Filed under: uncultured Streptococcus sp.
Lineage: Bacteria; Bacillati; Bacillota; Bacilli; Lactobacillales; Streptococcaceae
Description: bacterial SSU rRNA
Rfam family: Bacterial small subunit ribosomal RNA
Source: RNAcentral
AGGUGGUGCAUGGUUGUCGUCAGCUCGUGUCGUGAGAUGUUGGUUAAGUCCCGCAACGAGCGCAACCCCUAUUGUUAGUUUGCCAUCAUUCAGUUGGGCACUCUAGCGAGACUGCCGGUAAUAAACCGGAGGAAGGUGGGGAUGACGUCAAAUCAUCAUGCCCCUUAUGACCUGGGCUACACACGUGCUACAAUGGUUGGUACAACGAGUUGCGAGUCGGUGACGGCGAGCUAAUCUCUUAAAGCCAAUCUCAGUUCGGAUUGUAGGCCGCAACUCGCCUACAUGAAGUCGGAAUCGCUAGUAAUCGCGGAUCAGCACGCCGCGGUGAAUACGUUCCCGGGCCUU